GACGAACGCUGGCGGCGUGCCUAAUACAUGCCAGUUGAGCGAUGAAGCUUGGUGCUUGCACCAAUUUGAAGAGCAGCGAACGGGUGAGUAACGCGUGGGGAAUCUGCCUUUGAGCGGGGGACAACAUUUGGAAACGAAUGCUAAUACCGCAUAAUAACUUUAAACAUAAGUUUUAAGUUUGAAAGAUGCAAUUGCAUCACUCAAAGAUGAUCCCGCGUUGUAUUAGCUAGUUGGUGAGGUAAAGGCUCACCAAGGCGAUGAUACAUAGCCGACCUGAGAGGGGGAUCGGCCACAUUGGGACUGAGACACGGCCCAAACUCCUACGGGAGGCAGCAGUAGGGAAUCUUCGGCAAUGGACGAAAGUCUGACCGAGCAACGCCGCGUGAGUGAAGAAGGGUUUCGGAUCGUAAAACUCUGUUGGUAGAGAAGAACGUUGGUGAGAGUGGAAAGCUCAUCAAGUGACGGUAACUACCCAGAAAGGGACGGCUAACUACGUG
Molecule: ribosomal RNA, 497 nt
Filed under: uncultured bacterium
Lineage: Bacteria
Description: partial 16S ribosomal RNA
Rfam family: Bacterial small subunit ribosomal RNA
Source: RNAcentral